Transfer RNA from Felis catus (domestic cat), 82 nucleotides. It matches the Rfam family "tRNA". Rfam says of the family: Transfer RNA (tRNA) molecules are approximately 80 nucleotides in length. Their secondary structure includes four short double-helical elements and three loops (D, anti-codon, and T loops). The record is from Rfam. NCBI's taxonomy places the organism in Eukaryota, Metazoa, Chordata, Mammalia, Carnivora, Felidae.
GCCUGGGUGGCUCAGUUGGUUGAGCGUCCGACUUAGGCUCAGGUGAUCUCACAGCUUGUGGGUUCGAGCCCCGCAUCAGGCU